AUAAUUUCAAGUCUUUUUACUGCUAGUAAAAUAAUUAUACACAAUUAUUUUACUCUAUAUUUGUUAUGAUAUGUGUUUAACAAAGUGUUAUACUAAUAAAUGUAUGUGUAUAUAUAUAUAUAUAUAUAUAUAUAUAUAUAUAUAUAUAUAUAUAUGUAUAGGUGUGUAUAUAUAUAUACAAAAUAAUUUGUUACAUAUAUAUAUAUAUAUAUAUAUAUAUUUCCAUAUCAUUUUUAAUCCACAAUAUUGUUACACUUGACUUUGAACCUCAUACUGUAUUUAUUUUUAAUAGUGUGCUUUUGUACAGUUGCAUAUAUUUUUGUAUUUAUUAAUAUGUAUAACUUUAUGCAUAUUAUGGUAAUAAUAACCAUUUUAGACAAGGUGUAUAUUUUAUAAUCACAAUAAUAAUGUGUCAUUCUGUUGGUAAAUAAAACAUAUACAUAUAAAUAAGCUCAAAAUAACAUUAUUUUUUUAUCUAAACCAAAAGAGAUGGAGCAUAGUGAAAAUUUAAAAAGGUAAGUUUCUUUUUUUUAUCUGUUAUAAAUCUUUGAAUUUACCGAUAUUUUGCACUUUUUUAUUAUUACAUGUAUUCUUUUUAGAAAAAACAUUAACGAGAAUAAUUUAAAUUUUGAAAAGUUUAAAAAAAAUGCUUUUGAAAUAAUUGAGUAUAAAGAUAAAAUAAUAAGAAUGUUAUGUGCUAUAUUAGAAGUACAAGGAACUACUACUAUAAAUAUUAAAGAGUUUAUAUCAAACUUAAGUACAACAGAUCAAAUGAAAGAUCUCUUAUUUGAUAGCUCUGAAAACGACUUAAAAUCAAAUAACAAAAAAACGUCCUCUAGAAAAAGAACCCUAAUAACUAUUCCUAAGUUCAAAAAAUUAAAAAAAAAAAAUGAGCUAAAUAUAUUUUCAAGCCCAAAUAAAAUAAAUGACGAGUUAAAUAAAGAAAAGAAUUUUUCUGAUUCUAUUCUAAGUUCUUAUAAAUUAUUUUUAACCGAAAAACAAAAUGAAAAUAAAAUAGAAAAAGAACAGAUAAAUGAUGAGACUUUUUCUGACAUACAAAAUAUAUCAAAAGAAAAUUCCGAUAUCGAAACAGAACUAAAUCUAAAUAAAACUGGCAGUGUAUCUUUGAUAAACUCUAAAUCAAAUAAGAGUUUUAUUGACAGCCAUAAAAAGGCAUUAGAAAAUUUCCAAAAGGAUGAUGCAAAUUUUGAAUGUACAUAUAAUUGUAAAAGCGAAAAAGGACAAAAAAGUUCUAACUUAAGCACAAAAAUUAAUGAUUUAAAUGUUGAACAAUGUCAACUGUGUUUAAUGCCUAAUACGGAAUCGCUACAUGGAAAUUUCCCUCCCCUCUUUUAUAAACUAAGUUGUGGCCACGUUUUUCAUUUAAUGUGUAUCUAUGAAACUGUUAUAAGAAGGGAAUGUAGAAAGACUUGUUGUAUUUGUCAUACUGACUUGAGUGAAGCAGAUAAAAAUGAAAUUGUAAACAAAGUUAAAUGGGAAAAAAAGGAAAAUGAAAAAAGAAGCAAACUUUUAUUUAAAGUAGGACAUUUAUAUCAAAUUUUCUACCCAAUUUUUCAUUUUCAUCUAUGUCAAUUUUUAUCACGCGCACUCUUGCUUUCAUGGACCUUUCUAAUUUUUCCUGUUAUAUGUGUGUAUAUGAAAAAAGUAAAAAAAAUAUGUAUAAUUAUUUUAUUUUGGUUAUUUGUAUAUAUAUAUGUGAACUUUUUAUAUAAGUUUAAUAAUACAUAUAAACACGUAUAUAAACAGUUUACACGCGUGGCACCUACAAAAAGUUAAAUUAUUAAAAAAAAAAAAUAACAAAACAAUAAGGAGUGUUAAGACUAGGAUAAGCAUGAAAAAAAAAAAGACAUAAAACAUGUUCUAGGAAAAAGAAUAGGAUAAACAAAACUGUGUUACAUAAAACAAAAAAAAAACUUUUCUUACCAUUUCGCAUAGAAAUAUAAAACGAAUACAUUGUUACUCGAAUUUGAAUUCUAAAAAAAAAUAAAAAUAUAUAUAUAUAUAUGAAUUUAUCGAGA
RNAcentral lists this long non-coding RNA (2039 nucleotides) under Piliocolobus tephrosceles (Ugandan red Colobus). Its description in RNAcentral is "lncRNA (ENSPTEG00000017709.1)". Lineage: Eukaryota; Metazoa; Chordata; Mammalia; Primates; Cercopithecidae. The record is from RNAcentral.